This 442-nucleotide ribosomal RNA is filed under the name uncultured bacterium. Its description in RNAcentral is "partial 16S ribosomal RNA". It matches the Rfam family "Bacterial small subunit ribosomal RNA", at positions 338 to 795 of the family's 1533-position model. The record is from RNAcentral.
CCUACGGGAGGCAGCAGUAGGGAAUCUUUCACAAUGGGCGAAAGCCUGAUGGAGCAACGCCGCGUGCAGGAUGAAGGCCUUCGGGUUGUAAACUGCUUGUAUAAGCGAGAAAUAUGAUGGUAACUUAUGAAUAAGGAUCGGCUAACUACGUGCCAGCAGCCGCGGUCAUACGUAGGAUCCGAGCAUUAUCCGGAGUGACUGGGUGUAAAGAGUUGCGUAGGUGGAAUAAUAAGUAGCUAGUGAAAUCUGGUGGCUCAACCAUUCAGACUAUUAGCUAAACUGUUAAGCUCGAGACCGUUAGGGGUAACUGGAAUUUCUAGUGUAGGAGUGAAAUCCGUAGAUAUUAGAAGGAACACCAAUAGCGUAGGCAGGUUGCUGGGACGGUUCUGACACUAAGGCACGAAAGCGUAGGGAGCAAACGGGAUUAGAUACCCGUGUAGUC